GAUGAACGCUAGCUAUAGGCUUAGCACAUGCAAGUCGAGGGGUAACGAGAGGGAAGCUUGCUUUCCUUGUCGACGACCGGCGCACGGGUGAGUAACGCGUAUCCAACCUGCCCCCAACUAGGGAAUAACCUUGCGAAAGUAAGACUAAUACCCUAUAAUUUCCUCAGAUGUCAUCUGACAAGGAAUAAAGAUUUAUCGGUCGUGGAUGGGGAUGCGUCUGAUUAGCUUGUUGGCGGGGUAACGGCCCACCAAGGCAACGAUCAGUAGGGGUUCUGAGAGGAAGGUCCCCCACACUGGAACUGAGACACGGUCCAAACUCCUACGGGAGGCAGCAGUGAGGAAUAUUGGUCAAUGGGCGGAAGCCUGAACCAGCCAAGUAGCGUGCAGGAUGACGGCCCUAUGGUUGUAAACUGCUUUUAUACAGGAAUAAAGUUAGCCACGUGUGGUUAUUUGUAGGUACUGUAUGAAUAAGGACCGGCUAAUUCCGUGCCAGCCGCCGCCGUAA
RNAcentral lists this ribosomal RNA (505 nucleotides) under uncultured bacterium. Its description in RNAcentral is "partial 16S ribosomal RNA". It matches the Rfam family "Bacterial small subunit ribosomal RNA", at positions 28 to 523 of the family's 1533-position model. The record is from RNAcentral.